GACGAACGCUGGCGGCGUGCCUAAUACAUGCAAGUCGAACGAACUCUGGUAUUGAUUGGUGCUUGCAUCAUGAUUUACAUUUGAGUGAGUGGCGAACUGGUGAGUAACACGUGGGAAACCUGCCCAGAAGCGGGGGAUAACACCUGGAAACAGAUGCUAAUACCGCAUAACAACUUGGACCGCAUGGUCCGAGUUUGAAAGAUGGCUUCGGGCUAUCU
Molecule: ribosomal RNA, 218 nt
Filed under: uncultured bacterium
Lineage: Bacteria
Description: partial 16S ribosomal RNA
Rfam family: Bacterial small subunit ribosomal RNA
Source: RNAcentral